AGAAUUUUUUGGCAAACUUGUCGAAAGACAAGGACGCAAAGCUAUGGAUCUAACUAUACCAAAUGACGGUAUAAAUGAUUGCCAAGCCGCAACU
RNAcentral lists this non-coding RNA (94 nucleotides) under Propionispora vibrioides. RNAcentral's name for it is "c-di-GMP-I riboswitch aptamer". It matches the Rfam family "c-di-GMP-I riboswitch aptamer". From Rfam's summary of the family: GEMM was predicted in a large-scale screen for bacterial structured RNA regulatory elements. Genes associated with GEMM are involved in a diverse array of functions, including chemotaxis regulation, signal transduction, secretion and chitin. Lineage: Bacteria; Bacillati; Bacillota; Negativicutes; Selenomonadales; Sporomusaceae. The record is from Rfam by way of RNAcentral.